AGCUAUCUGUUGGAAAUAAAAUAUUCUGUGAAACCGGCAACACGGGCUGACGAUGCAAAAGCGGAAUAGUAUAAAAUAUCAUUGUUGGUAGGAGGUCUAUUUGAAGACAGCGCGAGAUAAAAUACCAAAAUCAUUGAAGCUGCUAUUGAGAAUGCUGCUCUCAGUCUUUGGUUUAUCGCGGCAAAUGUGACUUCCUCCCCAACAAACUUCAAUGAUUUUGCGGAAUCAUUUGCAGUAGUAAGAGCACAAUGGACCCGCGGCUUCAGCAAAUAGAAGCAGAAGGCAACCUAUGGCGGAAAUAUUGUGAUGAUGAAGAACGGCGCAUCGAUGAAGAAUAUGAGCGUCGGCUUGCUGAAAUCGAUGCAGAAUUCGAGGAAGCUGCUAGGAAAAUUCGACAGAAAUUCUCCCAAAAGACGGAUGCAGUGAAAAGGCAGUUUUGUGAAGUUAAUUCAUUCACAAAACCUUCCACACAACUCGCCUGUACUUCUGAACAACAAAGCAGUGCACCUAUCCCUCAUCGACGAACAUCAGCACGUCAUUCAAGUUCAAUCGCGGCAUCUGUAGAGGUGCACAUUAACGAUAUAAGAUCGUCACAGGUGGUACAAUCAGCUGUUCCACAAAAUGUGUUAACAGUGUCUAGUGGUCAGAAUAAAGUUUGCCAUCUCGAGAACACGGAUCCUAAAACUGUAAAUAUGCCCAAACUAUACAUGGCAGGAAAGUAUGCAUUUGAAAGGCAGCCAACCAUCCAAUUUCUAUUAUGUGAAAUAAUUAUCAAAUGUGAAGUCUGUGGAACAGUGGCGUUAACAACAGAUAGAGCAACAACAACGAAAACGUACAUCGAGAUCUUCGAUCCCGGGGGAGCGUUUGUUUUUUUCUCUCAGCUCAGUUCGAUAGCUACACGCGUUGCGACGAUUGUUUUUUGCCAUUCUGAGUGAUCAAUCAUAUCGUUCAAUUGUUGUCAUUCCAUGUGAAUGUGGCAAUCAAAUGGUCAGACCUGUUACCUGUUUCACGGGUGGGAGAAUGUUGGAAAUAAAAUAUUCUGUGAAACCGGCAACACGGGCUGACGAUGCAAAAGCGGAAUAGUAUAAAAUAUCAUUGUUGGUAGGAGGUCUAUUUGAAGACAGCGCGAGAUAAAAUACCAAAAUGUAUGUAUAUAAUAAGUUAGAUUUAAAAUAUAUUUAAGUAAAAUAAAUUGAAUUUCAGCAUUGAAGCUGCUAUUGAGAAUGCUGCUCUCAGUCUUUGGUUUAUCGCGGCAAAUGUGACUUCCUCCCCAACAC
Aedes aegypti (yellow fever mosquito) is the source of this 1277-nucleotide long non-coding RNA. RefSeq lists it as uncharacterized. NCBI's taxonomy places the organism in Eukaryota, Metazoa, Arthropoda, Insecta, Diptera, Culicidae. The record is from RefSeq and is a predicted model, not a curated record. The transcript is spliced from 2 exons.